CGUCACUCGUCAGUUGGUGCCUGGAAGUGAGUGAAUCUGGUAGUUUUUAGCGAUUGGCUAAGGGUUGUGGGAAAAAAAUUUCAAGCAAGGUUGGAGAACGACUAUUGGCGAUAACGUUUUUCUAUGAUUAUCCGUGGUUCAUGAAAGCAGCAUUAUUGUUGUGAGGUUAGAGAUUACGGACAAAGGCGAGCAACACAUCAGUAAUGGAAGUCGACAGGGUAUGAUGAAGCUGUAAUGAAAUGGAGGUUUAGUGAUGCUGCUUAGAGACUUGGCGUCCUGCUACGUCUUAGGAGGAAGACAGUGUUUCUACAAGACAAGAGAUUAUGUUGAUACCUGGCUCCAAAUUUUACAUUCGAAAUACCGAAUGAAAGAGAAAAGAAUAUUUAAACUGCAGACAUAAUUGGAUCAGCUGUUUGUUGCAAGGAAAAUUACAAGAAACAGCAGGAAGAGAGGGAAGAAAAAUCCCAUGAGGCAAGACACCUUCACGGAUAAAACUGAAAUUUGGUGAAAAUUCUAUGGAGAUUAAAGGACAGAGUCCUCAACCAGAAGUUGCAGGGCAGAUACUAACUGAAGUUACGAUGGACUGAAAGUCUGAUGAAGUGUGGGAGUGUUUUAUGGGAGAAGCAGGAGUCCUAACCAAGCGGCAGUCUUUAACCAGACGAGUCUCUUAAGAUAUUUAUACUGCCACAAGUCAAAGUUGCAGGGUAGUUCAUAUUGGUGAAUUUGUACAGGUUGCAAACCUGAAAGAGAAGGAAGCUCUGGAGCAGAAAUCACCACUGGAAAGUUCUAUACUGACUAAGAACCUGGAUUAGUGCAGCUUUCUCAAUUGGUAAUCAUAUGGCAAGGGAAACCAAACUGGUGAGAGCUAAGGUGGGUGAGCUGGCUGAACUGUAACGCAGGCCAGGUGAUUACAAGACUGGAAGGGAUGUUGAAAACCUUAGCUGUAGCUGCUGUACUGAAAGACGACCAGGAAUUUGCAUACCACACGAAUACGUAAGUUCAACGUCCUGUUGAAAAACCUCGGCAGAAGAGCUUAAUGGGACCAAGUAAUAAACAGGAGAGUAAUGGGUGUAACAGUUCUAAAGUACCAGGCAUGAUGAUAAAUCUUUAUCUGAAAUCAACAGGCAUGGAUUUAACCAGGCUGCUGCUGUUUUUCCUAUUUGUUUAUAAAUCUGUGAAAACCUGGAUGAAAUCAUACUUUUAACACAUUCAAAUAAAGAUUAAACAUAAAGAUUAAACACAUUUAACCUUGGGUUAUUAUGUGGUAGAAUUGAGCAGGAUUCCUGCCGUUUCCAAACUUAUUCUCCACAAAUCUUGUGCUUGGGCUUAUGCUCCACAAAGAACAUGCCCCUUUCAGCCCGCUGCUUUCAGUUUCAAUUACAACAUUCGAACCUGGUAAAAAAAAAAAAAAUACCCAAUGCACUAAAAACAGAUUCCUUCAACACUUUUUGUAUACCCUUAUCACUGCAAAGCCUUAACUGUAGCAGGAUUCAAACCUGCAUUCAGUAUACACAAUGUCAUGUUAACCCACCUGCCUAUGUGGUCUGGCAAGUUAACACGACCUUGUUCUGAUAUAUACGUAAUGAAAGAAGGUUUUGAAUCUUACUACAAACAUCAGACUCUUUUCACUUAGUUCUUACAUCUAUGUAGUGACAAACAUAACCAAAAGUGUGAAGA
Molecule: long non-coding RNA, 1677 nt
Organism: Macrobrachium nipponense
Lineage: Eukaryota; Metazoa; Arthropoda; Malacostraca; Decapoda; Palaemonidae
Exons: 4
Source: RefSeq, a predicted model, not a curated record